RNAcentral lists this transfer RNA (63 nucleotides) under Podarcis lilfordi (Lilford's wall lizard). RNAcentral's name for it is "tRNA.Ile". It matches the Rfam family "tRNA", at positions 9 to 63 of the family's 71-position model. Rfam says of the family: Transfer RNA (tRNA) molecules are approximately 80 nucleotides in length. Their secondary structure includes four short double-helical elements and three loops (D, anti-codon, and T loops). The record is from RNAcentral. Lineage: Eukaryota; Metazoa; Chordata; Lepidosauria; Squamata; Lacertidae.
CAGCUCAGUUGGUUAGAGCGUGGUGCUGAUGACACCAAGGUUGCAGGUUCGAGCCCCGUAUGG